RNAcentral lists this small RNA (356 nucleotides) under Pongo abelii (Sumatran orangutan). RNAcentral's name for it is "processed transcript". Lineage: Eukaryota; Metazoa; Chordata; Mammalia; Primates; Hominidae. The record is from RNAcentral.
GGAGGGGCAGAGCGGAGCUGUGGGCUGGGGGCUGGAGGACAGGUUUGUUCGCUGGACGCAAGCACCAGGCGCAGCCUCGCUCGCCGAGACCCGGCCAGAGACGGGGUUUCACCAUGUUGGCCAGGCUGGUCUCGAACUCCUGACCUCAGGUGAUCCACCUGCCUUGGCCUCCCAAAGUGCUGAGAUUACAGGUGUGAGCCACCGUGCCUGGACGACCCAUGUUCUAAGAGUCGAAUCUGUCUGUGUUGUGUUUACCUUUCUUUGCUCUCCCAAGAACGUGUUACGAGUCAGUUUUUAGUGAAAAAACAUUGAGCUAGGAGCCAAGACCCAUCUCUUCACUAUUUUGGUAUUGUGCA